CCUACGGGAGGCAGCAGUGGGGAAUAUUGGACAAUGGGCGAAAGCCUGAUCCAGCAAUGCCGCGUGAGUGAUGAAGGCCUUCGGGUCGUAAAGCCCUUUUACCAGGGAUGAUAAUGACAGUACCUGGAGAAUAAGCUCCGGCUAACUCCGUGCCAGCAGCCGCGGUAAUACGGAGGGAGCUAGCGUUGUUCGGAAUUACUGGGCGUAAAGAGUACGUAGGCGGUUAUUCAAGUCAGAGGUGAAAGCCCGGGGCUCAACCCCGGAACUGCCUUUGAAACUAGAUAACUAGAGUCUUGGAGAGGUUAGUGGAAUUCCGAGUGUAGAGGUGAAAUUCGUAGAUAUUCGGAAGAACACCAGUGGCGAAGGCGACUAACUGGACAAGUACUGACGCUGAGGUACGAAAGCGUGGGGAGCAAACAGGAUUAGAUACCCUGGUAGUCCACGCCGUAAACGAUGAUAACUAGUUGUUCGGUCACUUGGUGACUGAGUGACGCAGCUAACGCAUUAAGUUAUCCGCCUGGGGAGUACGGUCGCAAGAUUAAAACUCAAAGGAAUUGACGGCUGNGAAGUGCGAGCGACACGAGGGAGAGG
Molecule: ribosomal RNA, 591 nt
Filed under: uncultured bacterium
Lineage: Bacteria
Description: bacterial SSU rRNA
Rfam family: Bacterial small subunit ribosomal RNA
Source: RNAcentral